RNAcentral lists this ribosomal RNA (274 nucleotides) under uncultured bacterium. Its description in RNAcentral is "partial 16S ribosomal RNA". It matches the Rfam family "Bacterial small subunit ribosomal RNA", at positions 523 to 796 of the family's 1533-position model. The record is from RNAcentral.
AUACAGAGGGUGCGAGCGUUAAUCGGAAUUACUGGGCGUAAAGCGCGCGUAGGCGGUUAUUUAAGUCAGAUGUGAAAUCCCUGGGCUCAACCUAGGAACUGCAUCUGAAACUGGAUAACUAGAGUUUAGGAGAGGGGAGUAGAAUUUCGGGUGUAGCGGUGAAAUGCAUAGGGAUCCGAAGGAAUACCAGUGGCGAAGGCGACUCCCUGGCCUAGAACUGACGCUGAGGUGCGAAAGCGUGGGUAGCAAACGGGAUUAGAAACCCCAGUAGUCC